Molecule: long non-coding RNA, 1071 nt
Organism: Trematomus bernacchii (emerald rockcod)
Lineage: Eukaryota; Metazoa; Chordata; Actinopteri; Perciformes; Nototheniidae
Exons: 2
Source: RefSeq, a predicted model, not a curated record
UGUCUCUUCCUCACUCUCUCUCUCUCUCUCUCUGUCUCUCUCUGACUCUCUUCCUGCGCUGCCUCCAUCCGGCACAAUUACCCAUGGCUAAUUUCACAUCUGUCCUGAAUAGUAAAAUGUCACUGGAUAUACAAACGCCCCACGUGCUUCACUUCUGAAAGAAGCAUUCUCCCUCCAGUGAUCACACGAGAUGCUCCACUCGCCUGCUGUUUAUGUUGUUUGCCUCCCAACAGAAAGCAGUGAUUAUUUUCUGGCUGCCUCUCAUAUUCUGAGCCCUGUAAUUUUCAUCACUCAGCGCUGCACUUCAUUCAAAUGAUGAUCCACUUAAUGUUUGGAAAUCCAAAUGAAUGAUAGCUUAACCUCAAUCCUUGAAUUAAAAAAUGAGUUUUUUUUACUCCAUUUUCUUUAUGGAGAUAUUUAAAGGGUGGUGCCGCGGUUAUUAAUAGAUCAAGUAUUCUUUGCAAAAAAUGUCUUUUUAAUUCGCAGAAAUGGAAAAUCCCCAGAGAUGAAUUAAGAUGCAGAAAUAUUACCAAGCCUGCGUGGCAGUGGGAAGAUCUGGUCCAAGUCCAACUGAAGACUGAGAAGUGGAGACAAGGCACUGAUGGACACUCACUGAUUCACGGACACAUGUUGACGGACAAACAGAUGAUCAAAGACACCUUUUACACUCUGCACAAUAAAACCAGGAAGCUUCAUGGGAACCUUUUUUCUCUCCUCUUGUCACCAAGUGUCACCACGACGGAUUUAGAAACACACACCGGCUGAUGGAAGAUGACAGGUGUGACAUCCACUGUGCUGUUUCUAAUAGCCUAAUUGGCUAGUGCAAACACACACAUAUACACAUAUACACACACACACACACACUUGUAACACAUGAUAAAACGACAGAAUGCUGCAGGAGUCCGUUGCCUUUGACCAGAAACAGGAUCAGUGUAUGUGCGUAUUGGUUUAAUAAUGUUCCUUUUUGAUUUAGAUUCAUUCUAUGUUGUUCUGUAAUUUUUUUUCUUUCUUCUCUCUGUAUAAAAUCAGAAUAUAAAUUGUUUGGGAAAUAAAGCGAAGCCGUGUACUUAC